CUCCCUGAUCAUCGUUUGGCCUCUGCGCAAGACCAUGGAUGUGUGUUCAUUUUUUUUUUCCUUUCUCUUUUCCACGUUCCAGUUUCCCGUCCCCUUCCUCUUCUCUUCUUUUUUUUUUUUUUUUCCUUUCUCUCUCGCACAUUCUAGUUCCCCUUUCUCUUUUCUUUUUUUCUUUCUCUCCUUUCUCUUUUUUUUUUUUUCUUUCUUUGUCUCUUCCUCUCCCGCGGACCCUUCUUCUUCCCCUUCCUCUAUGUCGCACCUUAUCUCUGGUCAGAGAUCUUGUAAGUUCAUGGGGAAGAACGAAUCCUCCACCAUGAAGAUCUUCUCGUUUGCUCUAGCGGAAGAUCUAUGAAGAUUCGGUUUUGGGCUUAGGAGUCUAUGUGAAGACCCUCCGAUAAAUAUGUCGUAAGAGGGAAUACGGAUCCACAU
This 429-nucleotide long non-coding RNA is filed under the name Glycine max (soybean). Its description in RNAcentral is "long non-coding RNA (GMAX_LNC004352)". Lineage: Eukaryota; Viridiplantae; Streptophyta; Magnoliopsida; Fabales; Fabaceae. The record is from RNAcentral.